This 158-nucleotide non-coding RNA is filed under the name Haloquadratum sp. J07HQX50. RNAcentral describes it as "Sense overlapping transcript RNA 2652 (sot)". It matches the Rfam family "Sense overlapping transcript RNA 2652 (sot)", at positions 28 to 187 of the family's 187-position model. Rfam says of the family: It is associated with IS1341-type transposase (tnpB) genes, at the 3'-end in H. salinarum NRC-1. The tetraloop structural motif may be functional. Lineage: Archaea; Methanobacteriati; Methanobacteriota; Halobacteria; Halobacteriales; Haloferacaceae. The record is from Rfam by way of RNAcentral.
AGGUUCGGUUGGUGCGUCUAUCCGGGUCGGGGCGCGUAAGCCGCCCAGCCUCAUCCCGCUCGCUUGCCGAGCAGGGAGUGCUAGCGCACGGGUGAGGGAACCAACAACAGCCUCGGGCAACCGUGCCCGAGGCUGUUUACGAGCACCAACUGGAUACU